Molecule: ribosomal RNA, 497 nt
Filed under: uncultured bacterium
Lineage: Bacteria
Description: partial 16S ribosomal RNA
Rfam family: Bacterial small subunit ribosomal RNA
Source: RNAcentral
GAUGAACGCUGGCGGCGUGCCUAAUACAUGCAAGUCGAGCGAACGGACGAGAAGCUUGCUUCUCUGAUGUUAGCGGCGGACGGGUGAGUAACACGUGGAUAACCUACCUAUAAGACUGGGAUAACUUCGGGAAACCGUAGCUAAUACCGGAUAAUAUUUUGAACCGCAUGGUUCAAAAGUGAAAGACGGUCUUGCUGUCACUUAUAGAUGGAUCCGCGCUGCAUUAGCUAGUUGGUAAGGUAACGGCUUACCAAGGCAACGAUGCAUAGCCGACCUGAGAGGGUGAUCGGCCACACUGGAACUGAGACACGGUCCAGACUCCUACGGGAGGCAGCAGUAGGGAAUCUUCCGCAAUGGGCGAAAGCCUGACGGAGCAACGCCGCGUGAGUGAUGAAGGUCUUCUGAUCGUAAAACUCUGUUAUUAGGGAAGAACAUAUGUGUAAGUAACUGUGCACAUCUUGACGGUACCUAAUCAGAAAGCCACGGCUAACUACGUG